This 3766-nucleotide long non-coding RNA is filed under the name Equus caballus (horse). RNAcentral describes it as "lncRNA (ENSECAG00000050394.1)". Lineage: Eukaryota; Metazoa; Chordata; Mammalia; Perissodactyla; Equidae. The record is from RNAcentral.
AUCACUGGCCUAUCCAGCGUCUGCUCCCCAGCCAGGCCUGGCACCAGGUGCUCCAGGCACAAUCUCAGUCAGUCUUCCCAGCUGCUCCAGUGGUGGGGAUGGUUAUCAGCCCACUUUACAGAUGGGCAAAUAAGGAGAGACGCACUGCCUCCCCGAGGCCACAGGGCUAGACGGUGGCUGACCCGUCUGACCCGGGGACAGUGGGGUCCCCGCUCGGUAGCCCAUACAGCCUCCCAUUACCACCCCCACACCUGCCCCUGGAGACGCCCCCAAGACUAACAUGAAGAAUGGACUCCCUUCUCUUAGAACAUACAAGAAAGAUUGGUACUUCUCAAGUUGACAUUUUAUUUAAUCCAGGUGCCUCGGAGCAUACCCAGACUUCUCCCCAGGAAGAGAGACUGACAGCACGUCCGAGACCGGGGGCACAUUCAGCCUUUCCAGUCCUGCUUCCCAGCCUAAGCUCUGGUCUUGGAUCCUGCCCUGUUCCCAGACACUGAGAGAGGAAAGAAAGUCCUUCUAACUGGUCCCCGAGACUCGUGUCCCCAGCGGUCGUCCAUCGGGCUAUUCACUGUGUUCUGCUCCCCAGGCCUUCUGGAAGGACAGUGCUCCCUGUCCCCUUUAAUUAGAUGACUUACCCUGAACAAAAAAAAAAAGAGAUAAAUAAUGUGUGCCACAUCAGGGCAGAGGUAUUAAGAGGAAGUGCACAGUUUCCCACAUUUCUUUCCACGUCCCAGUGAUGAAGGAACCCAUGCUGAAAUGGGGCCUCUGUUAGCCCGGAUGCCUGAGUGACUAUGCAGAGUGGAGACCGCUGCCAACCUUCAUUGUGAGGAACACUACAUUCUUGUGUGGGUCUUGUCCAAUCAGUCGAAGGCCUGAAUGGAACGAAGCCCAACCUGCCUCCUGAGUCAGAGAGAAUUCUCCUGCCUGAAGCCCUGCAGACUGCAGCACCAGCUUUCUGGCUCUGCAGCAGCUUCCAGCCCUGGACAGAAGCUGCAAAGUUGGCUCUGCAGGUUUUGGAUCUGCCCGCCUCCAUAAUCGCGUGAGCCAAUUCCAUACACACGUGAGGAAGUGUCAUGAUGAAUCUAGUCGGCCUCUUCACCCUGUCCCCCUUGCUUCUCGGAUGGUGGUGGCAGAUGGCAGUGGCCACAGCAUCCAUUCACCUGGUGGCCUGAGCCUGUGACCCUCUGUGUGGCUGACCAGGUUUGCAUAAUCAGGGUCCACUUGGAGACCCAAAACUUCACACACAAGUCCCCGGGACUGGGGACCUGCAGGCAAGAGCAGGUCACCAGCACUUUGGUUUCCUGCCCUGACUGAGGCCUAACCCAGCUUUGCAGAGACCUAAACUAAGCACACCAUUGGGCUUUCCCUGUUGGUGAACAAGUCUGUUGGUUGUGUUUUUUCAUAGAGCCUGUGUUCCCCAUAACUCGUUGCAUAAAUGGGAACAGGCCAGAGGAUGGUUUUCCUCUGUGCCAGGAGCCUUAGCUGGAAACACUCAAGUGGCCAAGGGCCAGAGUCAUAGGAGGCUUCCUCACACACAUCUCGGUAUCCAGGCUGAAACAUUCUCAGGCUGGACUCGGCUGGACUGUUCACCGAGCGCCCACAUGUGGCCUCUUCCUAUGGCAUGGGCUUCUCCCAGAGUGGCGGCUGGGUUCCAAGAAGAAACUUCUUGCUUCCCGAAAGCAAGAGUGAGCUUUCCAACAGAAUCAGCAAAAGCUGCAUGGCCGUUUCUGAAACUAGACCUGAAAGUCACAAAGAAUCACCCCCGCUGCUUCCAUUAACGUCAAGCAACUCAUAAGGCCAGCCCAGACCUAAGGGAGGGGAAUUAGACCCAGCUCUUGUCGGGGAGUAUCCAGUUCCCAUGGCCUGAGAGUAUGUGGGUGGGAGACAGGCCACUGCCGUCCUUGGAGAAAUACUGCCUGCCGUACCCCGGAAGGGAAGAAGUGUGAUUAGUCAGAUAUGGGGACCAGAGCCCUCUCCUCUUAUAACAGUGCUCCUGAUAGCUCUACUACCCUGCUCUGACCAGGGAGCACCUCAAACAGAGGGGCAGUCGCUCAGCUGGACCAGGAGGCACUGGACCCCCUGUAGUGUCACCAGUCCCGAGAAAUGGGCGUUGGAAGGCUGGAGCUUCAUUCUGCCCAGACAAGGAAAACACACGCUGGCAGAGAAGGAAGUGAGCACAGCUCUUGCAGCACAGUUCUACCAGCAAGUCUGGGCAGGUACCCUCCUUCAUCCUUCAAAGUGGCAUGUGCUCCUGACUUCAGUGUGCACCACGGCAGCCUCCAGGGCCAGCACGUCAGAGGAAAGAUGCUCUAGUCCUCAGCAGAGCCAUGGCCUUCCAGCAGCCAAGGGCCCUGGCCAGCCCCUAAAAAACACCAAAAACCAAGGCGCAUCCCAGGGUAGGGUGGACACAUCCCUUGCCUGGGGGUCCUCUGUCUCUUCUCCGAUUUCUCCAGGGAAAGCAAAUACCCGACUUGGGAACUGGAGCCUUGUCCCAUCCAGACCACCUUUGACCCACACGAACGCAGCCAUUGUCUCUCCCUGUCACAUUUAUCUCAGAUUGAAGACCUAUCUUCAAGACUUCUGGAAAGACCCUAUCCUUUUGUGUAAGAAGCCUCAUGAGAAAGAACUUACUGGAAGGAACGAAGAGAGGAGAUGAGCGAGCUUGCUUCAGUGGCUGCCGCACAUCCCCGUCAGAAGAGACGAGGUGGCAUCAGGAGCCCCUCAGAGCUUUAGAGCAUGGACGUUCUGCUCUGGACUUGUGGCUGAAUGAGAGGAGCCAUUUCUCCUUCUUCUCCAGGGCUGUGCUUGGGGCCAGGGUCUCAUAACAGCAAUCAGGAGAGUCCCGGGCUCUCGGCAGGGAGCCAGAACCCCCAGCAUCCAAAACAGGGAAGAAGGAGCUGAGAACAUGGGGUGUGGGAAUGGCGGUGGGGAGCUCACCUCCACAGAGAGGAGCAGACACUGCAGGUCAGCUGCGUGAACUGUGCUCACCACCACAUGGGGGACAUGCCCUGGGGACUGCCCAAACUACUGACGGCAGGAGAGGCAAGAGAGCCACGACCUCGCAAAAAGGAGACGACCCGAAGAAACGCUAUGAUCUCUCACUGCUACUAGCCUAAUAUCCCCACAACUCAGCAGCCAUGAAUCAAAUGCUUGCACCUGGAAAUUGAGAACCUCUCAGAAGAUUCCAGGAGAACCCAGAAGCAUUACAAAGCCUAGAUCCAGGUGAAUUCAAGCCAAAAUGUUAACGAGUAAAGAGGACUGGAUGUGCUCUUGCUGUCCAGUGAAGAAUCUGGCCGGCCUUUGUCCCUGGUUCCUAGGAGGUAGCUUCUAAUUUCUGAAUGAUUGGAGUGUCUUUGCUACUUACGGUGCAAUUAGUGCCGAGUUUAUGCUAAGGAGAUGACUCAGGGUGGGGGCCGGCCAGGCCAGAAAGACCAAGAGUGUUGGGACUCGAGCUACAUGACAUCAGCCCAACCUCCAGGGGAGGGAGAGAGAUGGAGAUCAAGCCCAGUCAUGUAGCCAGUGAUUCCAUCAACCAUGCUUACGGAACGAAACACCAAUAGAAGUUCUGGAUGCUGAGGCUCAAGUGAGCCCUGAUUGGUGAUGCUCAUCAGUGUGCCAGGAGGGUGCCACAUCCCAAGGUCACCGAAGCGUCACAUCUUGGACCCUCCCAGACUUUCCCUUCUGUGUCUCUUCAUUGGGCUGAUCUUGAUUUGUGUCCUUUAUAAUAAAACUGUGAUCAUGAGAAUAGUGCUUUCCUGAGUUUUGU